GCAGGAGUGCUGGAACUGGCAGACAGGCUAGACUAAGGAUCUAGUGGUGGUUACACCGUGUGGGUUCAAGUCCCAUCUCCUGCA
RNAcentral lists this transfer RNA (84 nucleotides) under Lachnospiraceae bacterium. RNAcentral's name for it is "tRNA-Leu". It matches the Rfam family "tRNA". Rfam says of the family: Transfer RNA (tRNA) molecules are approximately 80 nucleotides in length. Their secondary structure includes four short double-helical elements and three loops (D, anti-codon, and T loops). Further hydrogen bonds mediate the characteristic L-shaped molecular structure. tRNAs have two regions of fundamental functional importance: the anti-codon, which is responsible for specific mRNA codon recognition, and the 3' end, to which the tRNAs corresponding amino acid is attached (by aminoacyl-tRNA synthetases). tRNAs cope with the degeneracy of the genetic code in two manners: having more than one tRNA (with a specific anti-codon) for a particular amino acid; and 'wobble' base-pairing, i.e. permitting non-standard base-pairing at the 3rd anti-codon position. The record is from RNAcentral. Lineage: Bacteria; Bacillati; Bacillota; Clostridia; Lachnospirales; Lachnospiraceae.